Molecule: non-coding RNA, 345 nt
Organism: Mus musculus (house mouse)
Lineage: Eukaryota; Metazoa; Chordata; Mammalia; Rodentia; Muridae
Source: the annotation of a RefSeq genome assembly
AUGAAAACAAGAUGCAAGCACACAGAUUCAAAGCUAGAACAACUAGUUGGGCUACUGAACACGGUCAAAUGGACAGGCACUGGUAGAACAGAUACUUCCCUGAUAGAUAAGGAAGGUAAAGACUUCACAGUGAGCUGUAGUUACCAAGACAGAGCUUCCAAUGUCUUCAGGUGGUCUGGACAGGAUCCCGAGGGGAGCCUCAUCACCUUGAGGUGAUGUUUCCAGCGGUUAAAGAGAAGAUCAGUAGAAGAUUCACAAGCAGGCUGUUUCUAGGAGGCCAGCUCUUUUCCCUGCUCACAAAGGAUUCCAAGCUCCAAGACUCAACUCUGUUCUAUGAACUGAGCA